GAUGAACGCUGGCGGCGUGCUUAACACAUGCAAGUCGAACGAAGCUGCUUAACAGAUUUCCUUCGGGAUUGAUGUUUUGUAGACUGAGUGGCGGACGGGUGAGUAACGCGUGGGUAACCUGCCCUGUACAGGGGGAUAACAGUUAGAAAUGACUGCUAAUACCGCAUAAGACCACAGCACCGCAUGGUGCAGGGGUAAAAACUCCGGUGGUACAGGAUGGACCCGCGUCUGAUUAGCUGGUUGGUGAGGUAACGGCUCACCAAGGCGACGAUCAGUAGCCGGCUUGAGAGAGUGAACGGCCACAUUGGGACUGAGACACGGCCCAAACUCCUACGGGAGGCAGCAGUGGGGAAUAUUGCACAAUGGGGGGAACCCUGAUGCAGCGACGCCGCGUGAGUGAAGAAGUAUCUCGGUAUGUAAAGCUCUAUCAGCAGGGAAGAAAAUGACGGUACCUGACUAAGAAGCC
RNAcentral lists this ribosomal RNA (466 nucleotides) under uncultured bacterium. RNAcentral describes it as "bacterial SSU rRNA". It matches the Rfam family "Bacterial small subunit ribosomal RNA", at positions 28 to 492 of the family's 1533-position model. The record is from RNAcentral.